AUACAUGCAAGUCGAGCGGACUUGAAGAGAAGCUUGCUUCUCGGAUAGUUAGCGGCGGACGGGUGAGUAACACGUAGGCAACCUGCCUGUAAGAUCGGGAUAACUACCGGAAACGGUAGCUAAGACCGGAUAAUCGGUUUCUCCGCAUGGAGAGAUCGUGAAACACGGAGCAAUCUGUGGCUUACGGAUGGGCCUGCGGCGCAUUAGCUAGUUGGUGAGGUAACGGCUCACCAAGGCGACGAUGCGUAGCCGACCUGAGAGGGUGAACGGCCACACUGGGACUGAGACACGGCCCAGACUCCUACGGGAGGCAGCAGUAGGGAAUCUUCCGCAAUGGACGCAAGUCUGACGGAGCAACGCCGCGUGAGUGAUGAAGGUUUUCGGAUCGUAAAGCUCUGUUGCCAGGGAAGAACGCCAAGGAGAGUAACUGCUCUUUGGGUGACGGUACCUGAGAAGAAAGCCCCGGCUAACUACGUGCCAGCAGCCGCGGUAAUACGUAGGGGGCAAGCGUUGUCCGGAAUUAUUGGGCGUAAAGCGCGCGCAGGCGGUUUUUUAAGUCUGGUGUUUAAUCCCGAGGCUCAACCUCGGUUCGCACCGGAAACUGGGAGACUGGAGUGCAGGAGAGGAAAGUGGAAUUCCACGUGUAGCGGUGAAAUGCGUAGAGAUGUGGAGGAACACCAGUGGCGAAGGCNACUUUCUGGCCUGUAACUGACGCUGAGGCGCGAAAGCGUGGGGA
Molecule: ribosomal RNA, 736 nt
Filed under: Paenibacillus chitinolyticus
Lineage: Bacteria; Bacillati; Bacillota; Bacilli; Caryophanales; Paenibacillaceae
Description: bacterial SSU rRNA
Rfam family: Bacterial small subunit ribosomal RNA
Source: RNAcentral